AGAUCCUGGUUUGAAUGUUAGUUCCGAUUCAAAUGUCGCCGUUGGUGCUACGUCAACGGUCGAAUUAACUCCAGAUAGCAAAGAAUGAAGAUGGUGAUUAAGCAACGAAGUAGGCAUCAUUGUCACUACAUUCUCCUGGGCACUGGUGUAGAUGUUUCAGCAUCAACUAUUGGUGGAAGAUUCGUCAUCGUCUAUUGCUGAUGAAAAUGGGAUCUCUUGACAUUAGUCUGCCCAUCGUUAGAGUUUAGCUUGGAGUAACAUGCUUGCCUA
This 270-nucleotide unclassified non-coding RNA is filed under the name Hevea brasiliensis (rubber tree). Lineage: Eukaryota; Viridiplantae; Streptophyta; Magnoliopsida; Malpighiales; Euphorbiaceae. The record is from RNAcentral.